RNAcentral lists this ribosomal RNA (207 nucleotides) under uncultured bacterium. Its description in RNAcentral is "partial 16S ribosomal RNA". It matches the Rfam family "Bacterial small subunit ribosomal RNA", at positions 568 to 774 of the family's 1533-position model. The record is from RNAcentral.
CGCGUAGGCGGUCUUUUAAGUCAGGUGUGAAAGCCCGGGGCUCAACCCCGGAAGUGCACUUGAAACUAAGAGACUUGAGUAUGAGAGAGGGAAGUGGAAUUCCUGGUGUAGCGGUGAAAUGCGUAGAUAUCAGGAGGAACAUCGGUGGCGAAGGCGACUUCCUGGACCAAUACUGACGCUGAGGCGCGAAGGCGUGGGGAGCAAACA